AACGAACGCUGGCGGCAUGCCUAACACAUGCAAGUCGAACGAGACCUUCGGGUCUAGUGGCGCACGGGUGCGUAACGCGUGGGAACCUGCCCUUAGGUUCGGAAUAACUCCCCGAAAGGGGUGCUAAUACCGGAUAAUGUCUUCGGACCAAAGAUUUAUCGCCUUUGGAUGGGCCCGCGCUGGAUUAGCUAGUUGGUAGGGUAAAAGCCUACCAAGGCGACGAUCCAUAGCUGGUCUGAGAGGAUGAUCAGCCACACUGGGACUGAGACACGGCCCAGACUCCUACGGGAGGCAGCAGUGGGGAAUAUUGGACAAUGGGCGAAAGCCUGAUCCAGCAAUGCCGCGUGAGUGAUGAAGGCCUUAGGGUUGUAAAGCUCUUUUACCCGGGAUGAUAAUGACAGAACCGGGAGAAUAAGCUCCGACUAACUCCGUG
RNAcentral lists this ribosomal RNA (433 nucleotides) under uncultured bacterium. RNAcentral describes it as "partial 16S ribosomal RNA". It matches the Rfam family "Bacterial small subunit ribosomal RNA", at positions 29 to 507 of the family's 1533-position model. The record is from RNAcentral.